Molecule: ribosomal RNA, 465 nt
Filed under: Vreelandella stevensii
Lineage: Bacteria; Pseudomonadati; Pseudomonadota; Gammaproteobacteria; Oceanospirillales; Halomonadaceae
Description: partial 16S ribosomal RNA
Rfam family: Bacterial small subunit ribosomal RNA
Source: RNAcentral
CCUACGGGGGGCAGCAGUGGGGAAUAUUGGACAAUGGGGGGAACCCUGAUCCAGCCAUGCCGCGUGUGUGAAGAAGGCCCUCGGGUUGUAAAGCACUUUCAGUGAGGAAGAACGCCUGGUGGUUAAUACCCAUCAGGAAAGACAUCACUCACAGAAGAAGCACCGGCUAACUCCGUGCCAGCAGCCGCGGUAAUACGGAGGGUGCGAGCGUUAAUCGGAAUUACUGGGCGUAAAGCGCGCGUAGGUGGCUUGAUAAGCCGGUUGUGAAAGCCCCGGGCUCAACCUGGGAACGGCAUCCGGAACUGUCAAGCUAGAGUGCAGGAGAGGAAGGUAGAAUUCCCGGUGUAGCGGUGAAAUGCGUAGAGAUCGGGAGGAAUACCAGUGGCGAAGGCGGCCUUCUGGACUGACACUGACACUGAGGUGCGAAAGCGUGGGUAGCAAACUGGAUUAGAUACCCGAGUAGUC